AUACUUACCUGGACGGGGUCAAUGAGUGAUCACGAAGACUCAUGGCCUAGAGCAGUGACCUCCAUUGCACUUGGGAGGGGUGCUGCUUUAAGGUCUCCCCAAGAGGGAGAGCCUACGUUAUAAUUUGUGGCAAUGGGGGCUUGCGUUCGCGCAGCCCCUAG
Molecule: small nuclear RNA, 161 nt
Filed under: Gossypium arboreum
Lineage: Eukaryota; Viridiplantae; Streptophyta; Magnoliopsida; Malvales; Malvaceae
Description: U1 spliceosomal RNA
Rfam family: U1 spliceosomal RNA
About the family: U1 is a small nuclear RNA (snRNA) component of the spliceosome (involved in pre-mRNA splicing). Its 5' end forms complementary base pairs with the 5' splice junction, thus defining the 5' donor site of an intron.
Source: Rfam by way of RNAcentral